RNAcentral lists this ribosomal RNA (473 nucleotides) under Dorytomus ictor. Its description in RNAcentral is "partial 16S ribosomal RNA". Lineage: Eukaryota; Metazoa; Arthropoda; Insecta; Coleoptera; Erirhinidae. The record is from RNAcentral.
CUUUUGAGUAUAAUUUAAGGUCUGACCUGCCCAAUGAUUUAAUUAAAUGGCCGCGGUNUCUUAACCGUGCAAAGGURGCAUAAUCAUUAGUUUUUUAAUUGAAAGCUUGUAUGAAAGGUUGAAUGAAAAAAUAGCUGUCUCUAUUUAAAUUUAUUAGAACUUUAUUUUUAAGUWAAAAAGCUUAAAUAUCUAUAGAAGACGAGAAGACCCUAUAGAGUUUUAUACUUUUAUUUAUAUAAGUNUUUAGAAUUUUAAUUUUAUAUAAAAAUAAUNUUUAAUUGGGGUGAUUAAAAAAUUUAAUAAACUUUUUUUAUUUAAAAACAUUWAWUUAUGAAUUUUUGAUCCUUUAUUUAAGAUUAAAAGAUAAAAUUACCUUAGGGAUAACAGCGUAAUUUUUUUUAAGAGUUCUAAUCGAAAAAAAAGAUUGCGACCNCGAUGUUGGAUUUAAAUUAAUUUUUGGUGUAGAAGCCAAA